This 493-nucleotide ribosomal RNA is filed under the name uncultured bacterium. RNAcentral describes it as "bacterial SSU rRNA". It matches the Rfam family "Bacterial small subunit ribosomal RNA", at positions 19 to 507 of the family's 1533-position model. The record is from RNAcentral.
AUGGCUCAGAUUGAACGCUGGCGGAAUGCUUUACACAUGCAAGUCGAACGGCAGCACGGGGGCAACCCUGGUGGCGAGUGGCGAACGGGUGAGUAAUACAUCGGAACGUGCCCAGUCGUGGGGGAUAACGCAGCGAAAGCUGCGCUAAUACCGCAUACGAUCUAUGGAUGAAAGCGGGGGACCGUAAGGCCUCGCGCGAUUGGAGCGGCCGAUGUCAGAUUAGGUAGUUGGUGGGGUAAAGGCUCACCAAGCCAACGAUCUGUAGCUGGUCUGAGAGGACGACCAGCCACACUGGGACUGAGACACGGCCCAGACUCCUACGGGAGGCAGCAGUGGGGAAUUUUGGACAAUGGGCGCAAGCCUGAUCCAGCAAUGCCGCGUGCAGGAAGAAGGCCUUCGGGUUGUAAACUGCUUUUGUACGGAACGAAACGGCUCUCUCUAAUACAGGGGGCUAAUGACGGUACCGUAAGAAUAAGCACCGGCUAACUACGUG